RNAcentral lists this ribosomal RNA (468 nucleotides) under uncultured bacterium. Its description in RNAcentral is "partial 16S ribosomal RNA". The stretch from base 49 to 468 matches the Rfam family "Bacterial small subunit ribosomal RNA", at positions 39 to 507 of the family's 1533-position model. The record is from RNAcentral.
GGGGGGGGGGGGGGGGGGGGUGGGGGGGGGGGGGGCGGGCGGGGGGGGGCGGGUUGUGUGGGGUGCGGGGGGGGCGGGCGGGGGAGUAACACGUGAGUAGGCUGCCCUUGGCUUUGGGAUAACUUCAGGCACCUGGGGCGAAUACCGGAUAGGAGCUCCUGCUGCCUGGUGGUGUUUGGAAAGUUUCGGCGGGUGGGGAUGGACUCGCGGCUUAUCAGCUUGUUGGUGUGGUCGUGGCUUCCCAAGGCUUUGACGGGUAGCCGGCCUGAGAGGGGGACCGGCCACAUUGGGACUGAGAUACGGCCCAGACUCCUACGGGAGGCAGCAGUGGGGAAUAUUGCACAAUGGGCGGAAGCCUGAUGCAGCAACGCCGCGUGCGGGAUGACGGCCUUCGGGUUGUAAACCGCUUUCGCCUGUGACGAAGCGUGAGUGACGGUAAUGGGUAAAGAAGCACCGGCUAACUACGUG